This 370-nucleotide ribosomal RNA is filed under the name uncultured bacterium. RNAcentral's name for it is "partial 16S ribosomal RNA". It matches the Rfam family "Bacterial small subunit ribosomal RNA", at positions 467 to 838 of the family's 1533-position model. The record is from RNAcentral.
AAGUGACGGUACCCAAAGAACAAGCCCCGGCUAAAUACGUGCCAGCAGCCGCGGUAAUACGUAGGGGGCGAGCGUUGUCCGGAAUUAUUGGGGGUAAAGGGCGCGCCGGCGGGUCCUUAAGUUUGAUGUGAAAUUCCGGGGCUUAACCCCGGGGGGGCAUUUGAAACUGGGGGUCUUGAGUGCCGGAGAGGAAAGCGGAAUUCCCAGUGUAGCGGUGAAAUGCGUAGAUAUUUGGAGGAACCCCAGUGGCGAAGGCGGCUUUUUGGUCAGUAACUGACGGUGAGGCGCGAAAGCGUGGGGAGCAAACCGGAUUAGAUACCCUGGUAGUCCCCGCCGUAAACGAUGGNUNCUAAAGUAGGAGGGGGUACCC